RNAcentral lists this ribosomal RNA (420 nucleotides) under uncultured Glomeraceae. RNAcentral's name for it is "SSU rRNA". It matches the Rfam family "Eukaryotic small subunit ribosomal RNA", at positions 459 to 886 of the family's 1831-position model. Lineage: Eukaryota; Fungi; Glomeromycota; Glomeromycetes; Glomerales; Glomeraceae. The record is from RNAcentral.
GGGAGGUAGUGACAAUAAAUAACAAUACGGGGCUCUUUUGGGUCUCGUAAUUGGAAUGAGUACAAUUUAAAUCUCUUAACGAGGAACAAUUGGAGGGCAAGUCUGGUGCCUGCAGCCGCGGUAAUUCCAGCUCCAAUAGCGUAUAUUAAAGUUGCUGCAGUUAAAAAGCUCGUAGUUGAAUUUCGGGACCAUCAUGUCGGUCGUGCCUCGGUACGUACUGGUAUUGUUGGUUUCUCCCUUCUGACGAACCAUGAUGUCAUUUAUUUGGUGUUGUGGGGAAUCAGGACUGUUACUUUGAAAAAUUAGAGUGUUUAAGGCAGGCUAACGCUUGAAUACAUUAGCAUGGAAUAAUGAAAUAGGACGUUAAUCCUAUUUUGUUGGUUUCUAGGAUCGACGUAAUGAUUAAUAGGGAUAGUUGGG